GCCAUACCCUGCCUACCCCCAUUCACGUCUGCCGGUUAAACCUUUUUUUCUGUGUUUCCUCGUCUCCACGGCGUCCCUUGCAACAGAGCCCUUGUAUACGAGUACCUGCAAUUACCUGGUACCUGCAGGGACAGUCAAACACUCUCCAGAUAAGGGAGUGACUGGUGCCAGCUGAUCACUUCACUACCAACGAGAAAACUACAAGCUAGGGAAACGAUCGCAGCCACGUGAUGACAGACGACCCAGCUGAUGCCUCGGAUUCUGUCAGGAGUCGUCAACAGCAGCUAAUGUCUAAUGGGCGGCUGGCGGGCAGGUAACAGCAGGUAACUAGCAAUCAGGAGCAUAGUGGCGGCGAGUAUCACACCUGCCAUCACCUCCCAUCAAGCCUCCCCGGCCCAGGUGUCUUAUUCAUAUUAUCGAUUGAAACUUAAGAAAAUAUACAAGGUAUGCCCCGAGUGGACGCCCGCCUCAUUGUUGCCCAGGGACACCUUGUACGUGACUCACCUGUGCUGUUUACCUGUGCCCACCAGGGUAAACAUGGCCAGCUGAUGAUGCAGUGUCCGGUGCUGCCCACAGACUCACCCAGACAAGAAGUUCCCUACCUUCGCUCAGUGACAACCCUGAAAUGUCAUGAUAAGUUUAAACAGCGUUAACAGUGAUGAAUAUAGAACGAGUUAAUAGGGGAAAGUUAUUUGUGAGAAGUGUAAAGGAGGAAUAAGAAGAGGAGUAAGAAGUAAGAAGUAAGAAGAGGAGAAUAUACGAAAUGGAUGUAGAGAUGGAGGAGGAGAAGGAAAAGAAGAGGGAAAUUAUUGUGUGAUAUAUGUAGAAAAGAAGGAGGAGGAGGAAUAGAAAUAGGAGGAGAAGGAAAGAAUAGCUUGGGAUGAGUGUAGAAGAAGAAAAGGAGGAGGAACAAGGAACAGGAGUAGAAGGGAAAAAAAAGUCUUCGUCAUUGUAAAAGAGGAGAAGAAAGAAGGGAAAGAGGAAUAGGAGUAGUAGUAAGAGAAGGGAAAAAAGAGUGUGUGUGUGAGAUGAAUGUAGAAGAGGAGAAGGAGGAAUAAAUAGCAAAAUUAAGAAAGUAGAUGGGAAAAUAAAAGAAAAUGUGAGUGAUAUAAAACUUGGAGAUGAAAGAAAAUGAGGAGGAGAGGGAGAAGAAAGAGUUACGAAUGUAGGAGAUAGGGAAAAAUAAAAUAAAAGCAGGAAUAACGUAAAAAUUGGAGAUAAAAAAAAGUAAUGAAUAAAAUAAGUGAAAAAGCAGAAAAAAGGAAAACAGUAAAUAUGAAUAAACAGAGACAACAAGAAAUGGAAAUAAAUACAAAAAAAGGACAUUGGGAGAUGACACACGAUCUAAUAAAUAAGGAAUAACGAAUAACAGAAAUAAAUAACAGGAAGUAGAAGAAAAUAGAAAAAAAGAAAACACAUUAAGGAAAACAGUUAGUGAAGGUCGAUAAUAAAAUUUUACUACUUUCCUCAUUGGCUGAUUAGUUUCCUUAGCUUCUUUCUGAUUGGCUGGUUGAUUUGUGAGCUCUUCUGUGAUUGGUCCAUAAUAAUAACAAAGAAAAGCAAAUGACAGUAACAAGAAGAAAAGAGCAUGAAUAAGAAAAGAAGAAGAAGAAGAGGGAGAAGAGGAAGAAGAAGAAGGAGAAAAAGAAAAGCAGAGAAGAAAAAGAAUAAGAUAAACAAGAGCAAGAAAAAGAAAGAAAAAUGAAGAAGAGGAGGAAGAGAAAGAGAAAUAGGAGGAAGAAGAAGAAGAAAAGGAGGGAAAGAAGGAAGGAGUGAACUUGAACAAUUUAAAGAAAAAAAAACAAGAGAAAGAGAAAUAACAAGAAGAUAAAGAAGGAAAAUAACAACAAACAACCACCACCAUCAUCAACAACAACAACAACAACAACAACAACAACAACAACACAGCCCACAAAAAGAUAACGACAUGAAAAUUUAGGAAACCUUUAAAAAUCGUGACCAAAACCACGCCAUAGAACAGUGAUACAUACCGGAGGUCGU
Molecule: long non-coding RNA, 2001 nt
Organism: Scylla paramamosain (green mud crab)
Lineage: Eukaryota; Metazoa; Arthropoda; Malacostraca; Decapoda; Portunidae
Exons: 6
Source: RefSeq, a predicted model, not a curated record